CCAAACCUCCAUCACAACACUGCCACGGCCACACAUGCAUGGGAUAUUUAAUGGGUGUGUUUGUUUCCUUUAAAAGAAAAAAAAAAAUGUCCACAGGCCAUUGAUGGCUUGCUUCCAAGACCACUGCAGCAGUGAACAGAGGGCCAGCCAGGAGAGUAAGUGGCGGAGAGGGGAGGCCGGGGCGGCCGACGGGGCUUCACAACACCCACAGAAAGUACCACCACAGCGGGCGACCCCGAGGGGCGGCAGAUAACGGAACUAUGAAUGCUCUGAUGCUUGAAGUACCAGGUAACUACAAGGAUGAGAGGGGCUGAAACAAGCUUUUCUCCACCCAGAGAAGUUCUCUCAUUGAUCAGAAGUAGAAAGAGGAGGAAAGAUACAGCGGAUUAUGGACGGUAGCCUACCUCACCGAAUUCAUUUGGCCCACAUAGAAUUCUCCUCGUGGCCUAAGAACAUCGGAUAUGCAAGAGGAAAAGGAAAAACACUAUCUUUGUGACUUCUACGCGGUUUGUUCUCCUUUUGAGUGGCAGGUUUAGACUGUCUUCUUUUAGGGACGGAGACUUGAUUUUCCGUUUUGGGGGGGGGUCUCUACUCAAAUUACUUAGUACUAUGUACAUAGCAUGUGCUCACUAAAUAUGUUUGACCAACAACA
Long non-coding RNA from Sus scrofa (pig), 652 nucleotides. RefSeq lists it as uncharacterized. NCBI's taxonomy places the organism in Eukaryota, Metazoa, Chordata, Mammalia, Artiodactyla, Suidae. The record is from RefSeq and is a predicted model, not a curated record.